CAGUCGCCGCGGUAAUACGAAGGGUGCAAGCGUUACUCGGAAUUACUGGGCGUAAAGCGUGCGUAGGCGGUUUGUUAAGUCUGCUGUGAAAUCCCCGGGCUCAACCUGGGAAUGGCAGUGGAUACUGGCAAGCUAGAGUGUGUCAGAGGAUGGUGGAAUUCCCGGUGUAGCGGUGAAAUGCGUAGAGAUCGGGAGGAACAUCAGUGGCGAAGGCGGCCAUCUGGGACAACACUGACGCUGAGGCACGAAAGCGUGGGGAGCAAACAGGAUUAGAUACCCGAGUAGUCCCUGUCUCUUAUAA
This 301-nucleotide ribosomal RNA is filed under the name uncultured bacterium. RNAcentral's name for it is "partial 16S ribosomal RNA". It matches the Rfam family "Bacterial small subunit ribosomal RNA", at positions 509 to 809 of the family's 1533-position model. The record is from RNAcentral.